RNAcentral lists this long non-coding RNA (343 nucleotides) under Mytilus galloprovincialis (Mediterranean mussel). The record is from RNAcentral. Lineage: Eukaryota; Metazoa; Mollusca; Bivalvia; Mytilida; Mytilidae.
CUUCCGCCUAAUUUUUUUCUUGCGUAGUUUGUUGUUUCAAAAGAUGUCGCUUAGAUAUUUGAAAUAUGAUAUCGUAUAGUUUAUACGCUUUAAAAAAUGACAACCGCGUAACAAAAUACUUAACCUUGUAAGAGUUAUCUCCCCAAACACUGUUUUUCUUGUGGCCACUACUCCUUCGCAACCGUAAAAGAUUACGAAAAAUUUAUUUUACCAAAUUGCUCCUUACAUCUUAAGGAUUAGGAUAUUCAUUUGAACCGAAGCUUUACGGAGACUCCAUAUGAGAGUUAUUCCCCAUUUUCAUUUGAAUUAAGUGAUAUGCAUUUCUAAAUGGUAAACCAUAAGU